Molecule: non-coding RNA, 219 nt
Organism: Lepisosteus oculatus (spotted gar)
Lineage: Eukaryota; Metazoa; Chordata; Actinopteri; Semionotiformes; Lepisosteidae
Source: RefSeq, a predicted model, not a curated record
UUUGCAUUACCAACCAAAAACCUUGUGGAGACACAGGCAGAUGUUCACGUCAUACCAGACGGUGCGGGGGAUAUUAUCAGAGCGCCUGAGAGAAGAGACCCCGGACCUUCAAAAAAUAAACUGCGACGAGCCAACAAGUUAACUGGGGCAACGAGCUCAAAACGUCUGAAAUCAACAAGCAAAGCAGCUGUAUCGACGUGCGGCGAAACAAAUGCGGCG